GACGAACGCUGGCGGCGUGCCUAAUACAUGCAAGUCGAGCGGAGCUGAUGGAGUGCUUGCACUCCUGAUGCUUAGCGGCGGACGGGUGAGUAACACGUAGGCAACCUGCCCUCAAGACUGGGAUAACUACCGGAAACGGUAGCUAAUACCGGAUAAUUAAAUUCGCUGCAUGGCGGAGUUAUGAAAGGCGGAGCAAUCUGUCACUUGAGGAUGGGCCUGCGGCGCAUUAGCUAGUUGGUGAGGUAACGGCUCACCAAGGCGACGAUGCGUAGCCGACCUGAGAGGGUGAACGGCCACACUGGGACUGAGACACGGCCCAGACUCCUACGGGAGGCAG
Molecule: ribosomal RNA, 337 nt
Filed under: uncultured Bacillota bacterium
Lineage: Bacteria; Bacillati; Bacillota
Description: bacterial SSU rRNA
Rfam family: Bacterial small subunit ribosomal RNA
Source: RNAcentral